Molecule: long non-coding RNA, 2483 nt
Filed under: Olea europaea (common olive)
Lineage: Eukaryota; Viridiplantae; Streptophyta; Magnoliopsida; Lamiales; Oleaceae
Description: long non-coding RNA (OEUR_LNC009024)
Source: RNAcentral
UUUUAUGUGAAUAACACAAACGUGAUGUGACACAUUAAGUAUAUGAAAUGUUAAGUGAGUUGCCAAAUUAUCGUCACGUCAAAUGCACCUUCAGCAAGUGGUAUAAGUAAAAACACGAUUUUCCUUCUUCAACUUAGCCAAUUCAUUUCUCUGCAAAUCAAAUGGAAUUCCCCCAAAUUGACACCCCAAACCCUCACAACAGUUCUCAAAUUGAAACCCAUUCAUUUUGGAGGCAAAUCUCAAAUUACAAGUGUGAAAAGCCAAAUGCUCCAACCCCUAACCCUAAAACCCAAAUCCAUUUCAUUCUCAUCGCUUUAUGCUCUUGAAAUCAAGAGAAGAAUUAGGAAAAAACCAUUUACAUCAUCAAUCCAAAACCUGAAAUUGGCUUUUCCCAUACCUAAAAUUGAUUUUCUCUAAUGUUGUGAUUCCGUUUUUACCAUACUUAACUUCCACAAAUAGCUGGUGAGUUUGAAUUUGCAUUUGGUUGUAUCACUGUGAUUAAUACUAUUGUGUUAUCAUGCUUUUGUGUCCCUGCAGUUUGUUUUACUAAUUUAUCCAUGGAGGCCAUUGACUUGACGCUAAACGUAUUGAAUUUGUGCGUGUUUGUUGAAAUGCUUCUACCCCUGCAGUUUGUGUCACCGCUUUAUUCAUUAAAACCAUUUAUUUAACGCUAAACGUACAAAAUUCCCUGGCUGCACAUAUUGUUUAGAAUGACAGAGAAAAAUAAAGACAUUUUGUCAUAAAGUUCCGGCACAACUUGUCUGAAUGCCUGAUAAAGAAACGAUGCCCAAAAUGUGGUGUUGGCUUCUUGAAAUGUAUGGAGGUAGAAAAAAAUAUUGGAAACGUAGGUUGCUUAUUCUUAUGAUGUACUUGUUGGGAAUUGAUUUAAACAUGCAUAGCGGAAUUUAACAAAUUUCAAUUCCCAUUCAAGAUUCAGCUUUGUAUUUAGAUAAAAACUGUGAUGAGAAAUAUACCUUUUGUGUGAUUUGCAAACUCUUUCGCGUUAUUCCUUUCCAGCAGCUUGAAUCUGCCUCCCACAGCUGUCCAAUUGUGCAGCCUCCAAUGAAAUCCACACAGAGAGAAAACAGCAACUGCUAGGGUUUCUUUCUUGUGCUAGCAAGAACAAUGAAUAACUUAAUGGACCUCAAACCCUAGCUGCAUAUAUAUAUAAACCCAAACGGACCCGGCCCGGUCCGGUCCAAUAUUUAAUUAAUCCAAUUAAUCAAAUCCGGUCUGUGAAUUAAUUAAUCCAAUUAAUUAAUUCGGGAUUAUAAAUAAGAAAUUCAAUUAAUUAAUUUAUCCAACGAUUGUUAAAUUAAUCAAUUAACAAUUUGCAGUCUUCAAAUUCUCUUUUGUGUGCGACCCAUUAGGUUCCCGACCACGAUGCCUAACGUCGUGAAAUAUUAUUUUGAUCUAAUCAAAAUCGAUAAAUUAAUACACCCUUUUAAUUUAUCGUCAAUUCACAUUCGCCGUCCCUGAUUGACAUCUAGCAAUGUGUCAGGGCAAUACAUGUGACGAGAAAUGUCACGUGGUAUGACAAAACCAAAAUCGUUCGUUUAUCAUGGAACUAUUAUCCCUUCGUCAAUACGAUCCGAUCAAUUACGAGAUAUGGAAUUGUGUCAAUCUCGAUCAUCGAUCAUAUCUUUCAUUCCACUAUUAAGUCAAUAUAAAUCGAAAACUCCUUUUCGACUUAUGAGUACACCUUGGCCAAGGAUUUCAUCAUCGACUUAAUUGAAUGAAACGCAGAUCAUAAUCUCCUAAUAUCUAAGAGUGACGAAUCCUUUAUUGAUCAAUCACAACCUUCAUACGAUUCUUGACGUACCCGAACGAUGUCGUAUUAGCGGCCCUUUUCAGAGCAACAUCCAACACCGCCAAAGUAUGACUGUCCUCAUAUAGGGUACUAUGACNNNNNNNNNNNNNNNNNNNNNNNNNNNNNNNNNNNNNNNNNUGUUCAUUUAAGUGUCACCACACUUUAGCUCGUGAGAUCAGCUACUUACUUCAUAAGUAAGAAAUGCCAUACGUGAUGGUCUAACUGUAUUAACGAUAUCCGUAUCUCGUUAUUACUUACGACCAUGGUUUAUUCAAGAUCCAAUUAUAUGUAAUUUGUAUCUCACAAUCACAACUCCUUGUGAUUAACAGAUUACCUAAAAAUUGGGUUUUCGGAUCCUAUUAUUUAAUAUCAUUUAUUACAAAAUUAAUUUAAAUAAAUAAUAGAUCUCGCCAAAAUCAAAUGCAUUAAAUAUAUUAAAAGCGUUUACAACCUAAAUCGAUUGGAUCUAGGGCAUAACACUUACAGUACUAGGGAUUGAUUGCAGUUAUGUCAAGUGGAACGAUGAUUCAUUGGAAGAUAAGACUUUGCAAUUUGAAGUGUAAUGGACGAUCGAUAUGUGUUUGUUCAGGUUAAUCGAAGCCUAAAGAUCCGAAUGAAGAUUUGUCAUGCAUGUUGAAGAAUUGUGCUCAAAUAACACAACAAGAAGACGUCN